AGGACGAACGCUGGCGGCGUGCUUAACACAUGCAAGUCGAACGAGGUCCAUCCGGUGGCAACACCGGAGAAGACUUAGUGGCGAACGGGUGAGUAACACGUGAGGAACCUGCCCCGAAGACCGGGAUAACAGCGGGAAACCACUGCUAAUACCGGAUACCCCCAUCGGACCACAUGGGCUGAUGAGGAAAUGGAUUCCGCUUCGGGAGGGCCUCGCGGCCUAUCAGCUUGUUGGUGGGGUAACGGCCUACCAAGGCGACGACGGGUAGCUGGUCUGAGAGGACGAUCAGCCACACUGGGACUGAGACACGGCCCAGACUCCUACGGGAGGCAGCAGUGGGGAAUCUUGCGCAAUGGGCGAAAGCCUGACGCAGCAACGCCGCGUGAGGGAUGAAGGCCUUCGGGUUGUAAACCUCUUUCGAGCAGGGACGAUAAUGACGGUACCUGCAGAAGAAGCUCCGGCCAACUACGCGCCAGCAGCCGCGGU
Molecule: ribosomal RNA, 486 nt
Filed under: uncultured bacterium
Lineage: Bacteria
Description: SSU rRNA
Rfam family: Bacterial small subunit ribosomal RNA
Source: RNAcentral